UACAGAGGUCUCAAGCGUUGUUCGGAUUCAUUGGGCGUAAAGGGUGCGUAGGCGGUGCGGUAAGUCGGGUGUGAAAUCUUGGAGCUUAACUCCGAAACUGCAUUCGAUACUGCCGUGCUUGAGGACUGGAGAGGAGACUGGAAUUCCCGGUGUAGCGGUGAAAUGCGUAGAUAUCGGAAGGAACACCAGUGGCGAAAGCGGCUCCCUGGUCCAGAACCGACGUUCAGGCACGAAAGCGUGGGGAGCAAACAGG
RNAcentral lists this ribosomal RNA (253 nucleotides) under uncultured bacterium. Its description in RNAcentral is "partial 16S ribosomal RNA". It matches the Rfam family "Bacterial small subunit ribosomal RNA", at positions 524 to 776 of the family's 1533-position model. The record is from RNAcentral.